RNAcentral lists this long non-coding RNA (1347 nucleotides) under Homo sapiens (human). RNAcentral's name for it is "HSALNT0172543". The record is from RNAcentral. Lineage: Eukaryota; Metazoa; Chordata; Mammalia; Primates; Hominidae.
CUGUUGUAACACAUUUCCUUUUUGCCUGGUUACCAGGAAGCUCACAAUCGAGUCUGUGGCCAUCCUUUAGCAAUUAGACAUUUUGGAUCCAAGGACCAAUAGGUUGACUCAUUCACUAGUGGAGAGUAUCAAAGAAAGAAAAAUUUAAAAACUAAACAACAGAUUUGACAAGCUGCCUGCCAUCUGAAAGUGAGAAAGAAUGUGAUAUUAAUUGAGCAUCUUCUGAGCAAGCUAUAUGCUGUACAUAUGCUUUUCUUCAAAACAUCCCUUCAAGAAAAUGGAAAGAGGGGGCGGAAGGAAUUCACCGUACUCUCCAGUACCCCAGUUGCUGGCUGGUUAAUGAAGCAUUCUUCUCAUCAAGCUGCCUCAGUUAUUUACCAAGAGAAUGACAACCCAUUCCCCACCCCCAGCUCGAACACCCACUGUGAUCAGCUCCCUCACUUCAUGACAAUGAGGCGAUAUGUGUGGGACUGGUUUUCGCAUAACUACAAAGCUUCAAAAAAAAAGUGAGAAUAAAUAUUUACUUCCAGUGUAUUUCAAGCAACACAGAAGGAAAAUCUUCAAUAUUAAACUGACUUAUUUCCAACGAUAUCUUGCAUUUUACUGUGGGUAAAAUGAAUACUUUGAAUAAGAUUUUCCAAUUUUAGACAAAAAGAGGGCAAUUUUUUGAUGAUAGGUUUCAUCUGCUGUGACAAAUGUUAGUGUGAUCCACUUGCUUGAGGGCUCGUAUAAUCAUUUCAUAGCGUGUGUGUGUGUGUGUGUGUGUGUGUGUGUGUGUAUGUGUGUGUAUACACCUCACAUAGGCAGGACAGAAGAAAUGAGUGUAGAAUCAAGCUCAUACUGGAUGUCUGAUGUGUACAAUGCAUGUGCAUAUGCAUUUGAGUUUGGAAAAAAUUCCCAAGCUAUACAUGGAAUUUUUUUUUUAAGUUAGUCACUUUUUGGUCCCACAGCUUUUAUUUUGGAGCUUUUCUGGUAAAAAGGACAUCUCUAUCCAAUAUCACCUGGACGAGAGUGCUGUUCAAACACAGGUGCUAUUACUUCAGCCCAUUUCUAGCUCAUGAUCUAAGAAAUAUGCUCUGCUGAGUAGAGUUCCAUAAAAGCAGGGCCUGUGACUCAGUCAUCUCUGUCCCUCAUGAUACUCAGGACAGCAAACAAAUGCUUUCCAAACAAUUUCAGAGUGAAUUCUAGGAGGGCUAUUUCAAGGUCAACUCUAUAAUUUAUCUCCUUGUUGGCUUUCUUCCCUCAUCUCACAACUUCCAAAAAUCCGGCCAAGGGGCAUUCAUAUUCACAUGCUGGAAAUGAUUUAAUUCUAUCUUCUAUAUGGAUAUCACUAACUUGGCAUGAAAA